UACGAAGGGGGCUAGCGUUGUUCGGAAUUACUGGGCGUAAAGCGCACGUAGGCGGCUCAGCAAGUCAGGGGUGAAAUCCCGGGGCUCAACCCCGGAACUGCCCUUGAAACUGCUAAGCUAGAAUCUUGGAGAGGCGAGUGGAACUCCGAGUGUAGAGGUGAAAUUCGUAGAUAUUCGGAAGAACACCAGUGGCGAAGGCGACUCGCUGGACAAGUAUUGACGCUGAGGUGCGAAAGCGUGGGGAGCAAACAGG
RNAcentral lists this ribosomal RNA (253 nucleotides) under uncultured bacterium. Its description in RNAcentral is "partial 16S ribosomal RNA". It matches the Rfam family "Bacterial small subunit ribosomal RNA", at positions 524 to 776 of the family's 1533-position model. The record is from RNAcentral.